GGGUCUGAUACUUGUUUGUCCACCUGUAUCCAAAAAAGAAAAACAAAUCUAUUAGGAAAACAAAAAACAUGACUUGGACUUUUGAUUAUGAAAGGCUUUUAGCUCUUCAACAAGAUUAAUUCUGUAUUUAUUUCCAAAUAUAUAGUUGAAAUUGAGAGAAAAUAAUUGUAAAACUAAUGUGGUUUUAACUCUCAUAUAACUGGAGUUUUGAAUUAUCUCAUAUACCUGGUGAAAGUUGGCAUGCCAAAUGUAUUUAAUGAAAAAGAAAAUCCCUCUCAAAUACUAAUGGACCUUUGAUCCUUACUUUCAUGAAACUUAGAGUUGAAAUGAAACACAUAAAGGGUGACAACUGUAGCAAAUAGGUACAUCAGAAGCCAUAUUCCAAAAGCAUUAUGGUGUAUAUGCAUGGCUAGCAUACUGCACAAGUGAUAUGGGACAAAUGACUAUAAUGUUAUGUUACAUACUAUAGAAGGAGGUAUAGGAACAAAGAUAGGAAGUAAUGAAAAUGAUUAUAGCUGUUUCUAGAUAUUCUAGAAGAGGUUAUGAGCGGGAAAAGCAGUAGCAGUUACUAAUUCUGUUGUGGAGAUAGUUAUAAUGACAGCUAAGGAGUUAGACAGUUACAGCAGCUAGAGCUCUAAAAUCUCAGUAGUUACCUUGUAAUUUUCAUCAAAGAACUAUCAAGAAAUACAAUUUCUUUCUCUUUUCUCUCUAUAUCUCUCUAUUCUAGUAUCUUUCUCUCUUCUAUUCUUCUUCUAUACUAUUUUUUUUCUGCUAGGGUUUCACAAACCCUAACAGACAUCUUGACAACAAAUAUUUUACUCAUCAGCUCAAAGUUUGAAGUUUAACUUCAUCAAGGAAAGUUUACCACUUAACUCCGCCUAAGUAGUUUUUGCUAAACCGGUCCCAAGCCCGAUAAUGGAGAAGGGUUGCGUUAGACGACAAUCAACGUAAAAAUUUUUUUACACCUCAUGAUAUGGAUUCUUAUGAU
Molecule: unclassified non-coding RNA, 988 nt
Filed under: Hevea brasiliensis (rubber tree)
Lineage: Eukaryota; Viridiplantae; Streptophyta; Magnoliopsida; Malpighiales; Euphorbiaceae
Source: RNAcentral